CCGAGCCUACGGGACGCAGCAGUGAGGAAUAUUGGUCAAUGGUCGGGAGACUGAACCAGCCAAGCCGCGUGAGGGAGGAAGGUACAGAGUAUCGUAAACCUCUUUUGUCAGGGAACAAAGGCGGGGACGUGUCCCCGGAUGAGUGUACCUGAAGAAAAAGCAUCGGCUAACUCCGUGCCAGCAGCCGCGGUAAUACGGAGGAUGCGAGCGUUAUUCGGAUUUAUUGGGUUUAAAGGGUGCGCAGGCGGUCUGUUAAGUCAGCGGUCAAAGCCCGGGGCUCAACCCCGGCCCGCCGU
Molecule: ribosomal RNA, 296 nt
Filed under: uncultured bacterium
Lineage: Bacteria
Description: partial 16S ribosomal RNA
Rfam family: Bacterial small subunit ribosomal RNA
Source: RNAcentral